RNAcentral lists this non-coding RNA (25 nucleotides) under Rattus norvegicus (Norway rat). Lineage: Eukaryota; Metazoa; Chordata; Mammalia; Rodentia; Muridae. The record is from RNAcentral.
UGGAUUUUCGUGUUGAUUGCUGAGU